This 301-nucleotide ribosomal RNA is filed under the name uncultured bacterium. RNAcentral's name for it is "partial 16S ribosomal RNA". It matches the Rfam family "Bacterial small subunit ribosomal RNA", at positions 509 to 807 of the family's 1533-position model. The record is from RNAcentral.
CAGUAGCCGCGGGAAUACGAAGGGGGCUAGCGUUGUUCGGAAUUACUGGGCGUAAAGCGCACGCAGGCGGCUCGAUAAAUUAGAAGUGAAAGCCUUGGGCUUAACCUGAGAAUUGCUUUUAAGACUGCCGAGCUAGAAUCCAGAAGAGGGUAGUGGAAUUCCGAGUGUAGAGGUGAAAUUCGUAGAUAUUCGGAAGAACACCAGUGGCGAAGGCGACUACCUGGUCUGGCAUUGACGCUCAUGUGCGAAAGCGUGGGGAGCAAACAGGAUUAGAUACCCCCGUAGUCCCUGUCUCUUAUAC